Molecule: ribosomal RNA, 440 nt
Filed under: uncultured bacterium
Lineage: Bacteria
Description: partial 16S ribosomal RNA
Rfam family: Bacterial small subunit ribosomal RNA
Source: RNAcentral
CCUACGGGAGGCAGCAGUGGGGAAUAUUGCACAAUGGGGGGAACCCUGAUCCAGCGACGCCGCGUGAGUGAAGAAGUAUUUCGGUAUGUAAAGCUCUAUCAGCAGGGAAGAAAAUGACGGUACCUGACUAAGAAGCCCCGGCUAACUACGUGCCAGCAGCCGCGGUAAUACGGAGGGGGCAAGCGUUAUCCGGAUUUACUGGGUGUAAAGGGAGCGUAGACGGUGCAGCAAGUCUGAUGUGAAAGCUCGGGGCUCAACCCCGGGACUGCAUUGGAAACUGGUGAUCUUGAGUACAGGAGAGGUAAGUGGAAUUCCUGGUGUAGCGGUGAAAUGCGUAGAUAUCAGGAGGAAUACCAGUGGCGAAGGCGGCUUACUGGACUGUAACUGACGUUGAGGCGCGAAAGCGUGGGGAGCAAACAGGAUUAGAUACCCCAGUAGUC